Molecule: ribosomal RNA, 263 nt
Filed under: uncultured bacterium
Lineage: Bacteria
Description: partial 16S ribosomal RNA
Rfam family: Bacterial small subunit ribosomal RNA
Source: RNAcentral
UACGUAGGGGGCGAGCGUUGUCCGGAAUGACUGGGCGUAAAGGGCGCGUAGACGGCUGUCUAAGUCUGGAGUGAAAGUCCUGCUUUCAAGGUGGGAAUUGCUUUGGAGACUGGAUGGCUUGAGUGCGGAAGAGGUAAGUGGAAUUCCCAGUGUAGCGGUGAAAUGCGUAGAGAUUGGGAGGAACACCAGUGGCGAAGGCGACUUACUGGGCCGUAACUGACGUUGAUGCGCGAAAGCGUGGGGAGCGAACAGGAUUAGAUACC